AUUGAACGCUGGCGGCAGGCCUAACACAUGCAAGUCGAGCGGAUGAAGGGAGCUUGCUCCUGGAUUUAGCGGCGGACGGGUGAGUAAUGCCUAGGAAUCUGCCUGGUAGUGGGGGAUAACGUCCGGAAACGGGCGCUAAUACCGCAUACGUCCUGAGGGAGAAAGUGGGGGAUCUUCGGACCUCACGCUAUCAGAUGAGCCUAGGUCGGAUUAGCUAGUUGGUGGGGUAAGGGCCUACCAAGGCGACGAUCCGUAACUGGUCUGAGAGGAUGAUCAGUCACACUGGAACUGAGACACGGUCCAGACUCCUACGGGAGGCAGCAGUGGGGAAUAUUGGACAAUGGGCGAAAGCCUGAUCCAGCCAUGCCGCGUGUGUGAAGAAGGUCUUCGGACUGUAAAGCACUUUAAGUUGGGAGGAAGGGCAGUAAGUUAAUACCUUGCUGUUUUGACGUUACCAACAGAAUAAGCACCGGCUAACUUCGUG
RNAcentral lists this ribosomal RNA (484 nucleotides) under uncultured bacterium. RNAcentral describes it as "partial 16S ribosomal RNA". It matches the Rfam family "Bacterial small subunit ribosomal RNA", at positions 30 to 507 of the family's 1533-position model. The record is from RNAcentral.